UUCAACUUUAAGAACAUUGUUUCCACUGAUGGAAGACAAAAAGAGUCUUGCAUCGUCAGAGGAACGAGCACAGAUUAAAGGAAAGGCUUCCUUGUUAGCUGCAGUUGAUUACUAUGUUGGUUUACACAGCGACAUCUUCAUCUCUGCUUCUCCAGGAAAUAUGCACAACGCAUUGGUGAGUAUUUCUGGCUUAUUUUCAUGCAACAUUAACUAUGGUCGAAUCCAACGAGGUGGUAAAAUUUAUAUGAUCAUCAUUGUAAACUUGUUGGAUGUUCUACCCUUAUCCUUGCUGCUUUAGUUCAUUCCUGAAAUUGUGACCCAUCAAAAAAUUUCUUGUUGAGCUUUUUGCACAUUUUUUUUCCAAAGUCAGAGAGUCCAUCUUCAUCUACAACUACGAAUCACAAAUGAAUGAACACAGUUUUGGUACUCAUUAGGGACCAUUACCCAAUAUUGCUCGUAUCAGAUUCUUGGAAAGCAACCUUAUCACAUGGCCAUACCACAUUUGGCUAUGAAUUUGACAAUUACCCAAAAUCUCCAAUUAAAUGUGAAUUUUCAAGGACAUGAAGUACAAAUUGGAAAUCGAUAAAUGAUCUAUUGGUACUCUAGCAUUUUUUUCUUCUCUCUCUAUUGAUAGACUGAAAUGGAUUGCUUAUUAAGCUUGGGUGGCAAUUUAUAAUGGUAUGCAUCAACAGGUGGGACAUCGAACUUAUAAGAACCUGAAGACCAUAAGGCCAAACAUGGCAUUAUUAGGCCAACUGUUCCUGAACAAAAACAUUAGUUGGUCAGAUUUCCAGCAAGCAGUUCUUGAAGGGCAUGAAAACAGACAAGGGGAAAU
Molecule: long non-coding RNA, 835 nt
Filed under: Jatropha curcas
Lineage: Eukaryota; Viridiplantae; Streptophyta; Magnoliopsida; Malpighiales; Euphorbiaceae
Description: long non-coding RNA (JCUR_LNC002371)
Source: RNAcentral